RNAcentral lists this unclassified non-coding RNA (344 nucleotides) under soil metagenome. RNAcentral's name for it is "partial contains 5.8S ribosomal RNA, internal transcribed spacer 2, and large subunit ribosomal RNA". The stretch from base 1 to 120 matches the Rfam family "5.8S ribosomal RNA", at positions 35 to 154 of the family's 154-position model. The record is from RNAcentral.
GAUGAAGAACGUAGCGAAAUGCGAUAAGUAAUGUGAAUUGCAGAAUUCAGUGAAUCAUCGAAUCUUUGAACGCACAUUGCGCCCGCCAGUAUUCUGGCGGGCAUGCCUGUCCGAGCGUCAUUUCAACCCUCAAGCCCCCGGGCUUGGUGUUGGAGAUCGGCGAGCCCCCCGGGGCGCGCCGUCUCCCAAAUAUAGUGGCGGUCCCGCUGUAGCUUCCUCUGCGUAGUAGCACACCUCGCACUGGGAAACAGCGUGGCCACGCCGUAAACCCCCCACUUCUGAAAGGUUGACCUCGGAUCAGGUAGGAAUACCCGCUGAACUUAAGCAUAUCAAUAAGCGGAGGA